CUACUAGUGAUAGUUAGCAGGCGGAGGGUGAGUAACACGUAGGCCACCUGCCCUCAAGACAGGGAUAACUACCGGAAACGGUGCUAAUACCGGAUAAUUUAUUACAUAGCAUUAUGUGAUAAUGAAAGACGGAGCAAUCUGUCACUUGGGGAUGGGCCUGCGGCGCAUUAGCUAGUUGGUGGGGUAACGGCCCACCAAGGCGACGAUGCGUAGCCGACCUGAGAGGGUGAACGGCCACACUGGGACUGAGACACGGCCCAGACUCCUACGGGAGGCAGCAGUAGGGAAUCUUCCGCAAUGGGCGAAAGCCUGACGGAGCAACGCCGCGUGAGUGAUGAAGGUUUUCGGAUCGUAAAGCUCUGUUGCCAAGGAAGAACGUCUCAUAGAGUAACUGCUAUGAGAGUGACGGUACUUGAGAAGAAAGCCCCGGCUAACUACGUGCCAGCAGCCGCGGUAAUACGUAGGGGGCAAGCGUUGUCCGGAAUUAUUGGGCGUAAAGCGCGCGCAGGCGGUUCUUUAAGUCUGGUGUUUAAACCUGGGGCUCAACUUCAGGUCGCACUGGAAACUGGGGAACUUGAGUGCAGAAGAGGAGAGUGGAAUUCCACGUGUAGCGGUGAAAUGCGUAGAUAUGUGGAGGAACACCAGUGGCGAAGGCCACUCUUUUGGCUGUAACUGACGCUUAGGCGCGAAAGCCUGCUGAGCAUACCCGAAUAGAUACCCCCGUUCUCCCCGCGCUAAAAGAUGACUGCUAGGUGUUAGGGGUUUCGAUACCCUUGGUGCCGAAGUUAACACAUUAAGCAUUCCGCCUGGGGAGUACGGUCGCAAGACUGAAACUCAAAGGAAUUGACGGGGACCCGCACAAGCAGUGGAGUAUGUGGUUUAAUUCGAAGCAACGCGAAGAACCUUACCAAGUCUUGACAUCCCUCUGAAUCUGCUAGAGAUAGAAGCGGCCUUCGGGACAGAGGAGACAGGUGGUGCAUGGUGGUCGUCAGCUCGUGUCCUGAGAUGUUGGGUUAAGUCCCGCAACGAGCGCAACCCUUGAUUUUAGUUGCCAGCAGGUACGGCUGGGCACUCUAGAAUGACUGCCGGUGACAAACCGGAGGAAGGCGGGGAUGACGUCAAAUCAUCAUGCCCCUUAUGACUUGGGCUACACACGUACUACAAUGGCUGGUACAACGGGAAGCGAAGCCCCGAGGGGAGCCAUCCUAUAAAGCCGUCUCAGUCGGGAUGCCGGCUGCAACUAGCUGCUUGAUGCGGAAACGCUCUUACCGGGAAAUGCAUUCCUCCCACAGUGCCC
This 1297-nucleotide ribosomal RNA is filed under the name Paenibacillus glucanolyticus. RNAcentral's name for it is "bacterial SSU rRNA". It matches the Rfam family "Bacterial small subunit ribosomal RNA", at positions 73 to 1375 of the family's 1533-position model. The record is from RNAcentral. Lineage: Bacteria; Bacillati; Bacillota; Bacilli; Caryophanales; Paenibacillaceae.